RNAcentral lists this ribosomal RNA (162 nucleotides) under Angelica dahurica. Its description in RNAcentral is "5.8S ribosomal RNA". It matches the Rfam family "5.8S ribosomal RNA". From Rfam's summary of the family: 5.8S ribosomal RNA (5.8S rRNA) is a component of the large subunit of the eukaryotic ribosome. It is transcribed by RNA polymerase I as part of the 45S precursor that also contains 18S and 28S rRNA. Lineage: Eukaryota; Viridiplantae; Streptophyta; Magnoliopsida; Apiales; Apiaceae. The record is from RNAcentral. RNAcentral also lists the same sequence under 14 other names.
AACGACUCUCGACAACGGAUAUCUCGGCUCUCGCAUCGAUGAAGAACGUAGCGAAAUGCGAUACUUGGUGUGAAUUGCAGAAUCCCGUGAACCAUCGAGUCUUUGAACGCAAGUUGCGCCCGAAGCCACUUGGCUGAGGGCACGCCUGCCUGGGUGUCACGC